CGGAGGGUGCGAGCGUUGUCCGGAAUCACUGGGCGUAAAGGGCGCGUAGGUGGCCUGUGGAAGUCUGCGGUGAAAGCCCGGCGCUCAACGCCGGGUCGGCCGUGGAUACUCUCGGGCUCGAGCUUACUAGAGGCAGAUGGAAUUCCGGGUGUAGCGGUGGAAUGCGUAGAGAUCCGGAAGAACACCGGUGGCGAAGGCGGUCUGCUGGGGUAAUGCUGACACUGAUGCGCGACAGCGUGGGGAGCAAACAGGAUUAGAUACCCUGGUAGCCCACGCCGUAAACGAUGGGCACUAGAUGCUUGGGGGAGCGACCCCCUGAGUGUCGUCGCUAACGCAUUAAGUGCCCCGCCUGGGGAGUACGGCCGCAAGGCUG
Molecule: ribosomal RNA, 373 nt
Filed under: uncultured organism
Description: bacterial SSU rRNA
Rfam family: Bacterial small subunit ribosomal RNA
Source: RNAcentral